This 406-nucleotide ribosomal RNA is filed under the name uncultured bacterium. Its description in RNAcentral is "bacterial SSU rRNA". It matches the Rfam family "Bacterial small subunit ribosomal RNA", at positions 355 to 775 of the family's 1533-position model. The record is from RNAcentral.
UGGGGAAUAUUGGGCAAUGGGCGAGAGCCUGACCCAGCAACGCCGCGUGAGGGAAGAAGGCCUUCGGGUUGUAAACCUCUGUCCUUGGUGACGAAAAAGAUGACGGUAGCCAAGGAGGAAGCCCCGGCUAACUACGUGCCAGCAGCCGCGGUAAUACGUAGGGGGCGAGCGUUGUCCGGAAUUACUGGGCGUAAAGGGUGCGUAGGUGGCCUUUUAAGUUGGAUGUGAAAUACCCGGGCUUAACUUGGGGGGUGCAUCUAAUACUGGAGGGCUAGAGUGCAGGAGAGGGAAGCGGAAUUCCUAGUGUAGCGGUGAAAUGCGUAGAUAUUAGGAGGAACACCAGUGGCGAAGGCGGCUUUCUGGACUGUAACUGACACUGAGGCACGAAAGCGUGGGGACCAAACAG